RNAcentral lists this transfer RNA (73 nucleotides) under Candidatus Dojkabacteria bacterium. Its description in RNAcentral is "tRNA-Thr". It matches the Rfam family "tRNA". Rfam says of the family: Transfer RNA (tRNA) molecules are approximately 80 nucleotides in length. The record is from RNAcentral.
GCUGGAAUAGCUCAUCAGGUAGAGCAUCGGUUUCGUAAACCGAAGGUAGUGAGUUCGAGUCUCACUUCCAGCU